AGCGAACGCUGGCGGCAGGCCUAACACAUGCAAGUCGAGCGCCCAGCAAUGGGAGCGGCAGACGGGUGAGUAACGCGUGGGGAUGUGCCCAAUGGUGCGGAAUAACCCAGGGAAACUGGGAUUAAUACCGCAUGUGCCCUUCGGGGGAAAGAUUUAUCGCCAUUGGAUCAACCCGCGUCUGAUUAGCUAGUUGGUGAGGUAAAGGCUCACCAAGGCGGCGAUCAGUAGCUGGUCUGAGAGGAUGAUCAGCCACACUGGGACUGAGACACGGCCCAGACUCCUACGGGAGGCAGCAGUGGGGAAUAUUGGACAAUGGGCGCAAGCCUGAUCCAGCCAUGCCGCGUGAGUGAUGAAGGCCUUAGGGUUGUAAAGCUCUUUCGCCGGUGAAGAUAAUGACGGUAACCGGAGAAGAAGCCCCGGCUAACUUCGUGCCAGCCGCCGCAGUAA
This 447-nucleotide ribosomal RNA is filed under the name uncultured bacterium. RNAcentral describes it as "partial 16S ribosomal RNA". It matches the Rfam family "Bacterial small subunit ribosomal RNA", at positions 29 to 523 of the family's 1533-position model. The record is from RNAcentral.